RNAcentral lists this ribosomal RNA (443 nucleotides) under uncultured bacterium. RNAcentral's name for it is "partial 16S ribosomal RNA". It matches the Rfam family "Bacterial small subunit ribosomal RNA", at positions 338 to 795 of the family's 1533-position model. The record is from RNAcentral.
CCUACGGGGGGCAGCAGUGGGGAAUAUUGGGCAAUGGGCGCAAGCCUGACCCAGCAACGCCGCGUGAAGGAAGAAGGCUCUAGGGUGGUAAACUUCUUGUAGCAGGGACGAAGCAAGUGACGGUACCUGAUGAAUAAGCCACGGCUAACUACGUGCCAGCAGCCGCGGUAAUACGUAGGUGGCAAGCGUUAUCCGGAUUUACUGGGUGUAAAGGGCGUGUAGGCGGGAAAGCAAGUCAGAUGUGAAAACCAUGGGCUCAACCUGUGGCCUGCAUUUGAAACUGUUUUUCUUGAGUACUGGAGAGGCAGACGGAAUUCCUAGUGUAGCGGUGAAAUGCGUAGAUAUUAGGAGGAACACCAGUGGCGAAGGCGGUCUGCUGGACAGCAACUGACGCUGAGGCGCGAAAGCGUGGGGAGCAAACAGGAUUAGAUACCCCAGUAGUC